AUUGAACGCUGGCGGCAUGCCUUACACAUGCGAGUCGAACGGUAACGGGCCUUCGGGUGCCGACGAGUGGCGAACGGGUGAGUAAUACAUCGGAACGUGCCCGAUCGUGGGGGAUAACGAGGCGAAAGCUUUGCUAAUACCGCAUACGAUCUACGGAUGAAAGCAGGGGACCGCAAGGCCUUGCGCGGACGGAGCGGCCGAUGGCAGAUUAGGUAGUUGGUGGGAUAAAAGCUUACCAAGCCGACGAUCUGUAGCUGGUCUGAGAGGAUGAUCAGCCACACUGGGACUGAGACACGGCCCAGACUCCUACGGGAGGCAGCAGUGGGGAAUUUUGGACAAUGGGCGCAAGCCUGAUCCAGCCAUGCCGCGUGCAGGAUGAAGGCCUUCAGGUUGUAAACUGCUUUUGUACGGAACGAAAAGCCUUCUUUUAAUACAGGAGGGUCAUGACGGUACCGUAAGAAUAAGCACCGGCUAACUACGU
This 481-nucleotide ribosomal RNA is filed under the name uncultured bacterium. Its description in RNAcentral is "partial 16S ribosomal RNA". It matches the Rfam family "Bacterial small subunit ribosomal RNA", at positions 30 to 506 of the family's 1533-position model. The record is from RNAcentral.